UGAUCCACCCACCUCAGCCUCCCAAAGUGCUGGGAUUACAGGCGUCAGCCACCAUGCCCAGCUCCUGUAUUUUCUUAAUUUAUUCUUCUAAGAUCUCCGUGGUUCUGGAUAUAUAUUUAAAUAUAAAAUCAUUCUGAACUGAAUUUUUGUGCAUGGAGUACAGAAGAAUUGACCAUUGAUUGUCUCUAUUGUUUGUUUAUUUUUCUAUUUCAUGAUUUUCUUUAUUUUUAUUAUUGGCUUAUAUUUAUUAACUUUGGGGUUGUUUUACUCUUUUUUUUCAGGGUUCUUAUUAUAAAAGCGUAGGUAAUUGACUUUAGUCCUUUGUUCGUUUCCUCUACAGGCAUUUAAAGUUGUAAGUUUCUCUCUAAGCACUAUGUCAGCUGUGUCCAACAUUUUGGUGCAUGGGGUUAUCAUCAUUCAGUUACUGAUGUUUUGAAUUCUUUCUUGUGAGUUUGUCUUUGACCCAAGUGACCCAUACCAACAGAGUACGUUGCUUGUUUUCUAAAAUUGGGGAUUUUCUAGGUAUCUUAUUUUUAUGGAUUUCUAAUUUAAUACUAUUGUGGCCAUAGCAUAUACUCUGUAUGAUUUUGAUCCUUACAUAUAUAUUGAAACUUGAUUUAUGGUGCAGCAUAUGGUCUGUGUUGGUGAACAUCCCGUAAACACUCGAAAAUAAUGCUUUCUACAGUUAUUCGAAAUAAUAUUCUACAAAUGGUUUGGUUUGAAACCCCACUCUAGGUCUUGCCCUCCUCCCGUGUUGUAGACAUUCAACUGCUACCUGGGACCUGACUACCAAUGCUUCAAACCCACUUGCCUAGAAAAUGUUGGCCCUGUGCUAUAACAACUUGUUCUCUGAUAGCAACAGGCCCUGGGUCUUGCUGAGACAUGUGGAACACUAUCUGAACCAUUCAGGCGCGUCACAUAUGUUUGCCUGCUGUAGCACAUGCUAGAGUGCACCUUAUAGAUCCCCCAUUGCCUUCAGUAUGGGGCUGCACAUUCCCUCAGAUGUUGAGAGUCCUGGAGGCUGUAGAUUUCAGCCAGCGUCUCUUGGAGUGUCUGAGUGGAACCAAUAAAUAAAAGCCGUAAAGAAAGUGAGAAAUUAAACAAAGGGCAAGACUGAUGAGGGCCACACUACUAAAUUUCUUUUAUUUUUAAAUAGCUUUACUGAGGUAUAAUUGACAUAACAUUUGCUUAUUUUAAGUGUGCAGUUAGAUUAUUUUCAGUAAAAUUUUAGACUUGUGUGACCAUCACCACGAUCCUGUUUUGCAACAUUUCUAUCAUUCCUAAGAAAUCCCUCAUGUUCAUCAAUCACCACCACUUUUUCCCAGUCCCCAGCUCCAGGCACCUCCUAAUUGAUUUUCUGACUCUACAGAUUUGCCUUUUCUGGAGACCAUAUAAAUGGAAUAAUGCAAUAUGUUGUCUUUUGUAUCUGUCUUCUUUCGUUUAGUUUAAUAUACUUUUAUGGUUCAUGUAUGUGGCAGCACAGAUCAAUAUUUAAUUACUUUUAGGUGCCAAAUCCUAUUAAAUUAUAUGGAUAGCUCCCAUUAGUUUAUUCAUUUUAUCAGUUGAUAGAUAUUUGAGUGUUUCAACUUUAUGGACUGUUACGGAUAAAGUUGCUAUGAAUAUUCACAUUCAUGUGUUGUGUGAACAUAGGAUUUUUUCUUUUGGGUAAAUAGCUAGGAGUGAUAGUGCUAGGUCGUAUGGUAAAUGUAUCUUCAACAUUUUAAGAUACUGCGAAACUGGUUUCCAACAUGGCUGCAUGUCCCAUCAACACUGCGUGAGUAUUUUAGUUUUUCCACAUCAUUGUUAUUUCACUUCCUCCAGGUGUUACUGUCCUUUUUUGUUAUAGCACUCUAGUGGGGAAGAAGUGGUGUCUCGUUGUAGUUCUGAUUUGCAUUUCCCUGCUGACUGAUGAUGCUGAUCAUCUUUUCAUGUACUUUGUUGACUCUUCCUACACCUUUUUGAUGAAAUUUUGCCUAUUUUAAAAUUGGGUUAUUUAUCUUUUCGUUGCUUAGUUGUAAGUGCAUUUCGUAUUCUGGACAUGAGUCCUUUAUCAAAUAUAUGAUUUGAAUUUUUUUUUCUCAGUCUAUGGGUUAUCUCUUCAUUUUCUUAUUGAUGGCUUUUAAAUGCCAACAUUUUUAGUUUUGAUCCUGUUUCAUUUUUCAACUACUUUUUAACCAGGAAAAUUUGGGUUUUUGCCUAAUUCAAGAUUAUGAAUAUGUUAAUCUAUGUUUUCUUCUAAGAGGUGUACAGUUUAGCCCUUAAUUUUAGGCCUAUAAUUUAUUUUGAGGGAAUUUUUGCCUAUGUGUGAGUUAAUGGCCUAAAUUCAUAUGGCCAAUUGAUUUUGACAAUAGUAAAUUCAAUAGGGAAAAAGACUGUCUUUUAAACAAGUGACACUGAGACAGCUGAACUGUCCACAUGCUCAGGGAAUGUCAGCCUGCUAUGUCAAGUGAUGCCCACCCAAGUCACCACCUAUUGGCAUCAGAGUGUGUGAAGAAUUUCUCAAUAUGAUAACUGUGGGUUAAAUAAUAUGCUGCAGCUCUCCGCUUCUCCCGUUCAACAGACAGCCACAUCUUCUUGUGCAGUGCCAGCCACAUCCCUGAGACACCAUGGUAAAGGUGAAGGCCAGAGUCAAUGGAUUUGGCCCUAUUGGGUGCCUGGUCACCAAGCCUACUUAUAACUCUGGUAAAGUGGAUAUUGUCACCAUCAAUGACCCCUUCAUUGAGCUUAACUACAUGGUCUACAUGUUCCAUAUGAUUUCACCCAUGGCAAAUUCCUUUGCACUGUAAAGGCUGAGAAUGGGAAGCUUGUCAUCAAUGGAAAUCCCACCACCAUCUUCCAUAAGCUAAAUCCCACCAAAAUCAAAUAAGGCAAUGCUGGUACUAAGCACAUCGUAGAUUCCAGUGGCAUCUUCACUACCAUGGGGAAGUGUGUGGCUCAUUUGCAGGGGACAGUUAAAAGGAUCAUCAUCUCUAACCCCUCUGCUGACACCCCCAUGUUUGUGAUGGGUAUGAACAAUGAGAAAUAUGACAACAGCCUCAAGAUCAUCAGCAAUGUUUCUUGUACCACCAAUUGCUUAGCACCUCUGACCAAGAUCAUUCAUGACAAGUUUAAUACAGUGAAGGGACUCAUGACCACUGUCAGUGCUAUGACUGAAAACUGUGGAUGGCCCCUCUGUGAAACUGUAGCAUGACAGCUGCAGGGCUCAAAGGAACAUCAUCCUUGCAUCAUCCUUGCAUCUACUGGCACUGUCAAGGCUGUGGGCAAGUAUAUCAAUGAGCUGCAUGGGAAGAGCACUGGCAUGACAUUCCAGGUCCCCACCACAAACAUGUUGGUCAUAAAUAUGACCUGUCCUCAGGAAAAACAUGCCAAAUAUGAUAACAUCAAGAAGGUGGUGAAGCAGCACCAGAAGGCCCCCAUAAGGGCAUCUUGUGCGACACUAAGAACGAGGUUGUCUCCUCCAGCUGAACCACUGACACCCACUCUUUCACCUUGGAUCCUGGGACUGGCAUUGCCCUCAAUGACCACUUUGUUAAGCUCAUUUUCUGAUGUGAAAAUGAGUUUGGCUACAGCAACAGGGUGGUUAACCUCAUGGCUCACGUGGCCUCCAAGGAGUAAGACCUGUGGACCACCAGCCCCAGCGAUAGCAUGAGAGGAAAACAGAGGCCCUCAGCUGCUGGGGAGUCCCUGCCACACUCAGUCCCCCCCAACACUGAGAAUCUCUCCUCCACACAGUUUAGUGCAGACCCCCUGAAGAGGGAGGUGCCUAGGGAACCCCACCUUGUCAUGUACCACCCAUAAAGUCCCCUGUCUGUACUCAGAAAAAAAAAAUGCAAUAUUAGGAAGACUCACAAAGAUUACUGAUCAGCAAAAGAAUAGACAGCAUGAUUUCUCCAUCCUCCUAUUUUAUACUGAUGCAUAAAUGGUCAGGAAAUGCUGGACUCACAGUGGGAGUCUGCAUUCCAGUGUGGGAACAAUAAUCUCCCUUGUUAUAAUUUUUUAUCACGUAAGCACAAACACAGCUUUAUCAUGGGGGCACACACAGGCUGUUGGUGUGAAAUAUUCUAGAUUUAGGUGUCAGCUGUUCACAAGAUUGUCUGGAAAAAUCAACUGCCCGGCAUCUAGAGUCCUUGGGGCUCACGCAAAGCGUUUCCCUUUUCUUAGGGGAGAAAGCCACCCAUUUUAUAGGGAUCUAUACUGAGCACAGUCUCUCAUGCUGGGAAAAGGAAAAUCCCUCUUCUUGGCUGGCUUACUAAACUCCUGGUUUACUUUAGGAUAAUUACACCCCUUGUGCUUGAGUCCUAGAGAGGUCAUGAGUAGCAUAGAAUAAGUUUUAAAGGCACAGGACUAGAUGAAAUAAGUUAGGGUAAGAAUAUUCAUGGAUAACAGGGGAAGUUUCUGGACUGAAUCCUGGAAUACACAUAUCAACAUUUGGAAGUUGAACAGAGAAGGAGGGGCCAGCUAAGUAUGCUGAGUAGGAGUUGGUGGCAGGAAGGAGAAAAAUUAGGAGGACAUGGCCUUGUGAAAGUCAAGUGAAGAAAGUGUUUCAAGAAGAGUUUGGUUCACUAUGUUGGGUGCUGCUGUCACAUCAAAUGCAGUAGGAAAAUAAACGAUUAUUGAUUUUGGCAACAUUGUAAGUAAUUUGUUUAGAACAAUUUCCACAAAUAGUUGGGUUGAAAGUUCAACUGGAAAGUCCAACACACAAUUCAUUUGUGUGUUGAGGAAGAGAAGAAAAAUGUGGAAAGAGUGACUCUUAAAAACAACACCUGUUCAAGAAGUUGUACCAUGAAGAUCUCAGUAAAAAGGUGUUACAGCCAGUGGAGUGAAGAGUUUAUUCUUGUUGUGUUGUCUUAAACUGGACUACUCCUUUACUGAUCCUUAGCACCUUGUACAGAGCAAUGUUCAAACAUUGUUGAGUGUUUGAUGAAAUAAAGUGUCUAUGUCUCAUA
This is a non-coding RNA of Chlorocebus sabaeus (green monkey), 4946 nucleotides long. Lineage: Eukaryota; Metazoa; Chordata; Mammalia; Primates; Cercopithecidae. The record is from RefSeq and is a predicted model, not a curated record.